RNAcentral lists this long non-coding RNA (702 nucleotides) under Apteryx owenii (little spotted kiwi). RNAcentral's name for it is "lncRNA (ENSAOWG00000007848.1)". The record is from RNAcentral. Lineage: Eukaryota; Metazoa; Chordata; Aves; Apterygiformes; Apterygidae.
UUAGGGUGUUUUACGCACACUACCAAGUGAAUGUAAGAAAACAGGAGGUCCCUAUUUCUGUAUUUAAAUAUAAGUUUUUUAGCAUGAUAACUUCUGAGGUUCAGUUGUAGCCCCUAUAAAAAUAUUACUUUAUUGUUCGGUUAAAAAGGGUAUAUAUUUUCCCUAAAUAUUUACCACUCUAUAGUACCAUAUAUAUCACAGCAAUCAUACACAAACCAAACACAUAAAUAAACAAAUUACUGCAUUAAACAUUUUUUGCCAAUUUCCUAAUUUAUUUUAUUUUAUUACAGUUUAUGGAUGAAAUCCGUACACUGAUGUCUAACCUGUAAUGAAAGCCAACCUGUUCAGCUUACCACAGCCUUGUAUACCACCAGGGGUUUGCGGACUACAGUUUGGAAAUUAGACCACUCCAGCUGCUUCAAAGGUAUAACGAUGUCCACUACUCCGUCCCUACCCCUAGACCUUCUGGUUGCUGUGUAAAACAUUUCUGCUACUUUAUCUGAUUUCCUCUGGGAUUAACUCUGGUUCUGCUACUGCUUUUAGCUUUCCGAAGUAGCAGCAAGCUGGCAUUCUCCAUUGCCCACAGGUUUCUAAACAACACAAGUAAAACUGUUCAGACCAUCCAUAAUGUCACUACUACCUGACAAAAGAACAAACAGAAGCAGAAAAUAAAAAAAAGUCUAGAUUUAGAAAAACUAGCCA